AUACACAUACGGUCUCAGACAAAAACGCAAACAUGCUCACAGAGACAUACAUUCACACACACACACACGGAUACUCUCUGUCAGACACACUCUCAGGCACAUACACAGAUAGACAGUGCCUCAAUGUGUAUAUGUGACACUUUUUUGUUAGUGGGGCCUCAUGUUUGAGUUUUGCCUAAGGCCUCAAAGUCUAGAGCCACCUCUGGAGCUGUAGUUGUUCU
Molecule: non-coding RNA, 221 nt
Organism: Pelobates cultripes (western spadefoot toad)
Lineage: Eukaryota; Metazoa; Chordata; Amphibia; Anura; Pelobatidae
Source: the annotation of a GenBank genome assembly